Molecule: non-coding RNA, 1420 nt
Organism: Heterocephalus glaber (naked mole-rat)
Lineage: Eukaryota; Metazoa; Chordata; Mammalia; Rodentia; Bathyergidae
Source: RefSeq, a predicted model, not a curated record
GUCAUUACUUCAGCAAGCGUCCACAGAAGCCACAAUUUUCCCGGGGAGGAGGUCAAACAGGCCACUCUCUCCACCUUUGAAUGCUGUUGCUUCCAAAGACUCUAUCUCUUGUCUCUGCUCAGCCCCUGUACUCCAGCUUCUCUGCCAGGCUUCAGAGAUCCUAAAGAAGGAGGAUAUCUUUAAUUGAAGAGUGCUAAUAAUUUACUGGUUGCAAACUCUACUUUUACCCUGAAGACCAGUGAUUCUUCAUUUCACCAGAGGAAAAGCCAUGGUGGACACCGACAUGCUGCCAGAGUGACCGGACAUAGCUGCUGAAGUGCUCUUGGCAGACUGACCACAGCUAUCACCAUCUUCAGAGAUGGCCUGAACUGGAAAGUCACCUCACCCAAAGUCAGGGAGUCAUCCCAGGACAGCAGCUGUACCCAGUGCCUAAGCCACAUGGGGUUAUCCAGGCCUAGACACCUCACCCCGGCCGGGGCUACUCUGAAAGGCCACUUGAGGUCCAUCCUACAGGGAGUCAUCUGAGUGGAGGCUAGGCCUGUAAAGUGACUUCUGUUCUGCUUCCUUUACUUCUGUCCUUAGGUCUCUAUCCCAACCGCACUGCUAGCAAAUGGCCUGCCAGAGCCUGUCUCUGCAGAGCCAGCUUGCAGCAAGGCCCUCCAUGACAGGCCUCCCCCAGUGCCUCUCUCAUUUCAAACCUCACCAACCCCGUACUAGGCCCCCAAGAACAUGGUCUUUGCUCUUUCCUAAAGAGCACAGGCAUGGCUCUGCCCCAGGGUCCCUGCACAGUGCUGCUUCUGUCUGGAACCCACUCCCCUCACCUCCUCCCAGUUCUGCCCAGAUGUCCCCCUUCUACACAAGCUGACCCUGAUCCACCUGAGCAAGAAGCAAGACAAUAGUUCUGAGGAGGAACAGUUCUCAUUUUCCUAAUGUAUUUGCUUAUGUUUCUGGGUGUGUGUUUCCUUUUGAAGAAGUGACAGCAAUUUUCUAGAAAGGAUUUUGCACACUGAUGUUUUAAAUCCAUAAAGAUGGAGCAGUCAAGAGCACAGGCUUUGGACUCAAACAGACUGAGGCUUGAGAAAGGCCUUGGGCCUCUCAGCUGUGUUUCUCUAUCUCUGACGGAGGAGCAAUGGUGUCACCUCCUUCUCAGAAUGGUUGUGAAGAUUACAGACUUCAUAGGUAACAGGCUGAGACAAAGAUUCACGUAAAGAUUGGGAACUGUUGAGAGAUGGUCCUAAGAAGCCCCAUACACCAAGAGCUCCAUGGAGUCUAUCUGCAAAAUGGCUUAGACGCGGUCCCAGGAAAUCAUCUUCUCAGCCCUGACAAUGAUCAGCAAGUAGAGAGGACCAGUCUUAGUGAAGCAACUGUCAACCCCAGGGGACAGUGACCCUAGCCGGAGGCCCUCCGCAGUAUCUGCUGA